AGCGUACACGGUGGAUGCCUGGGCAGUCAGAGGCGAUGAAGGACGUACUAACUUGCGAUAAGCGCAGAUAAGGCAGUAAGAGCCGUUUGAGUCUGCGAUUUCCGAAUGGGGAAACCCAACUGCAUAAGCAGUUACUGUUAACUGAAUACAUAGGUUAACAGAGCAAACCGGGGGAACUGAAACAUCUAAGUACCCCGAGGAGAAGAAAUCAACCGAGAUUCCGGUAGUAGCGGCGAGCGAACCUGGAUUAGCCCUUAAGCACUCGGUGAAGUAGGUGAACAAGCUGGAAAGCUUGGCGAUACAGGGUGAUAGCCCCGUAACCGACGCUUCAUCGAGCGUGAAAUCGAGUAGGGCGGGACACGUGAUAUCCUGUCUGAAUAUGGGGGGACCAUCCUCCAAGGCUAAAUACUCCUGACUGACCGAUAGUGAACCAGUACCGUGAGGGAAAGGCGAAAAGAACCCCUGUGAGGGGAGUGAAAUAGAACCUGAAACCGUGUACGUACAAGCAGUAGGAGCACCUUCGUGGUGUGACUGCGUACCUUUUGUAUAAUGGGUCAGCGACUUAUAUUCAGUGGCAGGUUAACCGUAUAGGGGAGCCGUAGCGAAAGCGAGUCUUAACUGGGCGCUCAGUCUCUGGAUAUAGACCCGAAACCGGGUGAUCUAGCCAUGGGCAGGUUGAAGGUUGAGUAACAUCAACUGGAGGACCGAACCGACUAAUGUUGAAAAAUUAGCGGAUGACUUGUGGCUAGGGGUGAAAGGCCAAUCAAACUCGGAGAUAGCUGGUUCUCCCCGAAAGCUAUUUAGGUAGCGCCUCGGACGAAUACUACUGGGGGUAGAGCACUGUUAAGGCUAGGGGGUCAUCCCGACUUACCAACCCUUUGCAAACUCCGAAUACCAGUAAGUACUAUCCGGGAGACACACGGCGGGUGCUAACGUCCGUCGUGGAGAGGGAAACAACCCAGACCGCCAGCUAAGGUCCCAAAGUAUUGCUAAGUGGGAAACGAUGUGGGAAGGCUCAGACAGCUAGGAUGUUGGCUUAGAAGCAGCCAUCAUUUAAAGAAAGCGUAAUAGCUCACUAGUCGAGUCGGCCUGCGCGGAAGAUGUAACGGGGCUAAGCAAUACACCGAAGCUGCGGCAAUAUCUUUUAGAUAUUGGGUAGGGGAGCGUUCUGUAAGCCGUUGAAGGUGAAUCGUAAGGUUUGCUGGAGGUAUCAGAAGUGCGAAUGCUGACAUGAGUAACACAAAGGGGGUAAAACCUCCUCGCCGGAAGACCAAGGGUUCCUGUCCAACGUUAAUCGGGGCAGGGUGAGUCGACCCCUAAGGUGAGGCCGAAAGGCGUAAUCGAUGGGAAACGGGUUAAUAUUCCCGUACUUCUGACUAUUGCGAUGGGGGGACGGAGAAGGCUAGGUGGGCCAGGCGACGGUUGUCCUGGUUCAAGUGCGUAGGCUUGAGAGUUAGGUAAAUCCGGCUCUCUCUAAGGCUGAGACACGACGCGAGCUGCUACGGCAGUGAAGUCAUUGAUGCCAUGCUUCCAGGAAAAGCCUCUAAGCUUCAGAUAGUCAGGAAUCGUACCCCAAACCGACACAGGUGGUCGGGUAGAGAAUACCAAGGCGCUUGAGAGAACUCGGGUGAAGGAACUAGGCAAAAUGGUACCGUAACUUCGGGAGAAGGUACGCUCUUGAUGGUGAAGUCCCUCGCGGAUGGAGCUGACGAGAGUCGCAGAUACCAGGUGGCUGCAACUGUUUAUUAAAAACACAGCACUGUGCAAAAUCGCAAGAUGACGUAUACGGUGUGACGCCUGCCCGGUGCCGGAAGGUUAAUUGAUGGGGUUAGCGCAAGCGAAGCUCUUGAUCGAAGCCCCGGUAAACGGCGGCCGUAACUAUAACGGUCCUAAGGUAGCGAAAUUCCUUGUCGGGUAAGUUCCGACCUGCACGAAUGGCGUAAUGAUGGCCACGCUGUCUCCACCCGAGACUCAGUGAAAUUGAAAUCGCUGUGAAGAUGCAGUGUACCCGCGGCUAGACGGAAAGACCCCGUGAACCUUUACUACAGCUUGGCACUGAACAUUGAACCUACAUGUGUAGGAUAGGUGGGAGGCUAUGAAGACGUGACGCCAGUUGCGUUGGAGCCGUCCUUGAAAUACCACCCUUGUAUGUUUGAUGUUCUAACUUAGACCCAUUAUCUGGGUUGAGGACAGUGCCUGGUGGUAGUUUGA
Molecule: ribosomal RNA, 2211 nt
Filed under: Vibrio cholerae HC-46B1
Lineage: Bacteria; Pseudomonadati; Pseudomonadota; Gammaproteobacteria; Vibrionales; Vibrionaceae
Description: bacterial LSU rRNA
Rfam family: Bacterial large subunit ribosomal RNA
Source: RNAcentral